RNAcentral lists this ribosomal RNA (427 nucleotides) under uncultured bacterium. RNAcentral describes it as "bacterial SSU rRNA". It matches the Rfam family "Bacterial small subunit ribosomal RNA", at positions 355 to 774 of the family's 1533-position model. The record is from RNAcentral.
UGGGGAAUUUUGGACAAUGGGCGAAAGCCUGAUCCAGCCAUGCCGCGCGAGUGAAGAAGGCCUUCGGGUAGUAAAGCUCUUUCAGCCGGAAAGAAAUCGCGCAGGAUAAUACUCUGCGUGGAUGACGGUACCGGAAGAAGAAGCACCGGCUAACUACGUGCCAGCAGCCGCGGUAAUACGUAGGGUGCGAGCGUUAAUCGGAAUUACUGGUCGUAAAGCGUGCGCAGGCGGUGAUGUAAGACAGAUGUGAAAUCCCCGGUCUCAACCUGGGACCUGCAUUUGUGACUGCAUCGCUGGAGUGCGGCAGAGAGGGAUGGAAUUCCGCGGGUAGAAGUGAAAUGCGUGGAUAUGCGGAGGAAAACCGAUGGCGAAGGCAGCCCCCUGGGUCAAGAUUGGCGCUCAUGCACGAAAGCGUGGGGAGCAAACA